GAUGAACGCAGGCGGCGUGCCUAAUACAUGCCAGUCGAGCGAACGGACGAGAAGCUUGCUUCUCUGAUGUUAGCGGCGGACGGGUGAGUAACACGUGGAUAACCUACCUAUAAGACUGGGAUAACUUCGGGAAACCGGAGCUAAUACCGGAUAAUAUUUUGAACCGCAUGGUUCAAAAGUGAAAGACGGUCUUGCUGUCACUUAUAGAUGGAUCCGCGCUGCAUUAGCUAGUUGGUAAGGUAACGGCUUACCAAGGCAACGAUGCAUAGCCGACCUGAGAGGGUGAUCGGCCACACUGGAACUGAGACACGGUCCAGACUCCUACGGGAGGCAGCAGUAGGGAAUCUUCCGCAAUGGGCGAAAGCCUGACGGAGCAACGCCGCGUGAGUGAUGAAGGUCUUCGGAUCGUAAAACUCUGUUAUUAGGGAAGAACAUAUGUGUAAGUAACUGUGCACAUCUUGACGGUACCUAAUCAGAAAGCCACGGCUAACUACGUG
This 497-nucleotide ribosomal RNA is filed under the name uncultured bacterium. RNAcentral's name for it is "partial 16S ribosomal RNA". It matches the Rfam family "Bacterial small subunit ribosomal RNA", at positions 28 to 507 of the family's 1533-position model. The record is from RNAcentral.